AGACGAGAUGAACCUGUGGCUGCGGUUGCUUGGUUGACUCUGCAGAUGAUGCAGUGCCUCCUUUAUGAAAGAUUUCUGAGGACUUCCCCACUUCUUCCUACUUGCGGGGAAGAUAAUAAGGAGAAAAGAUCAAGGAACCAGAAAGCUUCUAGAGGCAUGAGAUGUCGGAUUCCAAUAAAGCACUCAGAAGGA
Long non-coding RNA from Gorilla gorilla gorilla (western lowland gorilla), 192 nucleotides. RefSeq lists it as uncharacterized. The transcript is spliced from 2 exons. The record is from RefSeq and is a predicted model, not a curated record. NCBI's taxonomy places the organism in Eukaryota, Metazoa, Chordata, Mammalia, Primates, Hominidae.